UGUCUAGCAGAAAGAGGAGCCCGUCUAAGAACGUGAGACAACUCAACUGCGGCUGUCCCAUUUGCACGUUUUUUUUCCUCGGUCCCAAUGACGGCUCCCGCAGAAGCGAGGCAGAGCUCCCUGCCGGAGAGAGGACGUUGGGAGCCGCCGCCGCCAUCCACCUUCUGGUGUCUGGAUCGGCAAAAGAGGCACCAAGUAAUGGCUUCCUUAUGGCCGCAAGAGUGAUGGGCUGACAGAAGCUGGCACCUCAGGUCAAAUGAGACAAGCGGAAGGCAAACUUACUUGAGAACAAAGCAGCAUAACGAGCUCCACCACCGACGUGCUCGACUUCAUGCACACCAGACCUGCAAAG
This is a long non-coding RNA of Syngnathus typhle (broad-nosed pipefish), 352 nucleotides long. RefSeq lists it as uncharacterized. The transcript has 2 exons. NCBI's taxonomy places the organism in Eukaryota, Metazoa, Chordata, Actinopteri, Syngnathiformes, Syngnathidae. The record is from RefSeq and is a predicted model, not a curated record.